This 1394-nucleotide ribosomal RNA is filed under the name uncultured prokaryote. RNAcentral describes it as "partial 16S ribosomal RNA". It matches the Rfam family "Bacterial small subunit ribosomal RNA". The record is from RNAcentral.
AGAGUUUGAUCAUGGCUCAGAUUGAACGCUGGCGGCAGGCUUAACACAUGCAAGUCGAGCGGAAACGAUGAUAGCUUGCUAUCAGGCGUCGAGCGGCGGACGGGUGAGUAAUGAAUGGGAAUCUGCCCGAUAGAGGGGGAUAGCCCGGGGAAACCCGGAUUAAUACCGCAUACCCUACGGGGAAAAGCAGGGGAUCUUCGGACCUUGCGCUAUCGGAUGAGCCCAUGUCUGAUUAGCUUGUUGGUAAGGUAAGAGCUUACCAAGGCGACGAUCAGUAUCUGGUUUGAGAGGACGAUCAGACACACUGGAACUGAGACACGGUCCAGACUCCUACGGGAGGCAGCAGUGGGGAAUUUUGCACAAUGGGGGCAACCCUGAUCCAGCCAUGCCGCGUGUGUGAAGAAGGCCUUAGGGUUGUAAAGCACUUUCAGUAGGGAGGAAAAGUUAGUCGUUAAUAACGGCUAACCCUGACGUUACCUACAGAAGAAGCACCGGCAAACUCCGUGCCAGCAGCCGCGGUAAUACGGAGGGUGCGAGCGUUAAUCGGAAUUACUGGGCGUAAAGCGCGCGUAGGCGGCUUGAUAAGCUGGAUGUGAAAGCCCUGGGCUCAACCUGGGAACUGCAUUCAGAACUGUCUCGCUAGAGUAUGGUAGAGGGUAGUGGAAUUUCCUGUGUAGCGGUGAAAUGCGUAGAUAUAGGAAGGAACAUCAGUGGCGAAGGCGACUCACUGGACUGAUACUGACACUGAGGUGCGAAAGCGUGGGUAGCGAACAGGAUUAGAUACCCUGGUAGUCCACGCCGUAAACGAUGUCAACUAGCCGUUGGAGAACUUGAUUCUUUAGUGGCGCAGCUAACGCGAUAAGUUGACCGCCUGGGGAGUACGGCCGCAAGGUUAAAACUCAAAUGAAUUGACGGGGGCCCGCACAAGCGGUGGAGCAUGUGGUUUAAUUCGAUGCAACGCGAAGAACCUUACCUACUCUUGACAUCCUACGAACUUUCCAGAGAAGAUUGGUGCCUGCGGGAACUCGGUUACAGGUGCUGCAUGGCUGUCGUCAGCUCGUGUCGUGAGAUGUUGGGUUAAGUCCCGCAACGAGCGCAAACCCUGUCCUUAGUUGCCAGCCUUAAGUUGGGCCACUCUAAGGAGACUGCCGGUGACAAACCUGAGUAAGGUGGGGACGACGUCAAGUCAUCAUGGCCCUUACGAGUAGGGCUACACACGUGCUACAAUGGCGAGUACAGAGGGAAGCGAGACAGCGAUGUGAUGCGAAUCUCAAAAAGCCUAUCGUAGUCCGGAUCGGAGUCUGCAACUCGACGCCAUGAAGUCGGAAUCGCUAGUAAUCGCAAAUCAGAAUGUUGCGGUGAAUACGUUCCCGGGCCUUGUACACACCGCCCGU